UACGUAGGGUGCAAGCGUUGUCCGGAAUUAUUGGGCGUAAAGAGCUCGUAGGCGGUCUGUCGCGUCGGCUGUGAAAACUCGGGGCUCAACUCCGAGCUUGCAGUCGAUACGGGCAGGCUAGAGUUCGGCAGGGGAGACUGGAAUUCCUGGUGUAGCGGUGAAAUGCGCAGAUAUCAGGAGGAACACCGGCGGCGAAGGCGGGUCUCUGGGCCAUAACUGACGCUGAGGAGCGAAAGCGUGGGGAGCGAACAGG
This 253-nucleotide ribosomal RNA is filed under the name uncultured bacterium. RNAcentral describes it as "partial 16S ribosomal RNA". It matches the Rfam family "Bacterial small subunit ribosomal RNA", at positions 524 to 776 of the family's 1533-position model. The record is from RNAcentral.